Meriones unguiculatus (Mongolian gerbil) is the source of this 3226-nucleotide long non-coding RNA. RefSeq lists it as uncharacterized. The record is from RefSeq and is a predicted model, not a curated record. Lineage: Eukaryota; Metazoa; Chordata; Mammalia; Rodentia; Muridae. The transcript has 2 exons.
AGAAUGAGUGUACAAACAUCAAUAAACAUAUGAAGAGUUGAAAGACAGUAUUAUCUACCAACAUGGUAUAACAUAGCUAGAGAACACUCAAUUAGACAAUUGAAUUAGUAGUCAAAAGUCUCUCAAAAAUAAAAUUCCAGUAUCACUCAGCUUCAGUGAAAUCUCUAUCAAAUACUAGAGGAAGAAAUGAUGCAACUCUGUACAUAAUUUCCCAAAAAAAACCGAAGAGGAAAAAAUGCUUUUCAACUCAUUUCAUAGGACCCUUAUUACUCUGAUCUGAGAGGCAGAUAAAGACAGCACAAAUAUAAAAAGAAAAACCACAAGACCAGUAUCUCUAAUGAACUUUAGACACAAACCUCUCAAAAAAAAGUUAGUAAAGUCAACUCCAAAAUAUAUAAAAUUACUGUUCCUCAUGUCUAAGUUGGAUUUGUCUAGGUAUACAAAUUUGUUCUAUAUUUGAAAAAGCACUGCAAUCCCUUAACAUACAGAAAAACACACAUGAUUAUGUUAAUUUGAGGCAAAAAAAAUCUGUUAAAAUUCAACAGCUGUUUAUAAUAAAAAUGAAACUCUUUCCAGUUGGUAAUAAUUCACAUUACAUCAUACUUCAAGGUGAAGAACAAUGUUUUCUCCUUUCAGGUUGGCAAGCAAAGGAUGCCAGUUCUCAGCUUUUUCAGUCUUCUGCCGCAUAGCACUGGGAGUUCUAGCCACAGGGGAAAAAAGGCAAAAGAUCCAUGGACAACAAAUACUUGUAUGAAAAGAUAUUCCACACCAUCAUGGAAAGCAAGGACUAUAAAUUAGUUAUGGUCACUGCCUCAGUCGAUGAUCCAUUGCUGUGAAGAGACACCAUGACCAAGGCAACUCAUAAAGGAAAGCAUUUCAUUGGGAGCUGGCUUACAAUUUCAGAGGAUUAGUCCAUUAUCAUCAUGGCAGGAAGCACUGCAGCAUGCACACAGACAUGGUGCUGGAGAAGUAGCUGAGAGUUCUGCAUCUGGAUCCAAAGGCUGCAGGAAGAGAGUGACACUGGGCUUGGCUUGGGCCUCAAGCCCACCACCAGUGACACAUUUCCUCCAACAAGGCCACACUUCCUAAUUCUUUCAAAUAUUGCCAAUCCCUAAGCAUUCAAAUAUAUAAACUUACCGAGGCCAUUCUUAGUCAAACCACCACGGUCACUCUGAAGAAGAACUUGGUACUUCCUAUUAACACUAAAUAUAUAGUGUUAACAUUAUAUAGUAACACUAGAUGUAAGUAUAUAACUCUGAAACUGAGCUGUUGGAUAUUUAUCUCAGAGAAAUGGAGCCUUAAGAGGCUUUGUUUUCCAUCUCUUAAAGUUUUCAAUCGACUGCAUGUGAGUGACCAACAUUACGGGUAAACUGCUUCACCUGAUUUAAAUAUUAAUCAUAUCUACAAAAUACUUUUACUUAUACUUAUAGAUCAAUGACUAUUUGACGAGAUAUCUGUGUGAAAUACUCUAAGUGACAUACAAAAUUAAGCACCACAAACUAGAAUGAAACAACGUCUGGUUUUAGCUAUUCUGAAACCACUUCUCUGUGUACUCUUUGGUACAUAUUGUCACCAUCUGCACACCACACUUAUCAGGUUACCCUGCACAUACACAUAGGGGUAGAAAUGCCAAGCUCUUUUCUCUUUCAUGGGUCAACAUAUUAAGGCAAAUUUGGCCUUCCACAAUAUGAUCUGACCUGGUAAUUAUCUUCCAUAUCUGGUUCACUGUGGACCUGAUAUUCACACCCCAAAUUUUGUAGAACCCACUUCAUAACCUUCCUUCACACUCAACAACCUCAUUCCUUGCCAUAAGAGCUUGAUUUUAUUUUCACCAUUAUUGACCACUUCCUGUAAAAAUCCUUUCUUUGUGGUUGUCCACCCUGCAGCAGCCGGCGCUCUGGAGAAUUGCUAGAUGGUUCUGAGGUCUCCUAUCUUCUUUCCUUACUUGCUGUCCAGGUCAUCCUCCGGACAAUGGAACACUCACCGGUUAGGUCAGCCAUGGCCUAUCUUCAUUCAGCCUUUCAGCUGCUGAUUGUGGGCAGAUGGUACUGGCCCUCUCCCUUUCUUAAGAUUAAGAGGAAGGGUCUGAGUUUUGAGAGAAGGCUUUUCCCCUCAAACUUUUCAGACAGUUUCUGAUGUCUUUGGUGUUAUGGGUAACUGGAAAGAAAACAGGGAGAAUGCAGUUUAGUUUGCAGGGAAAGGGUGGAGGAAGGAUUAUAAAAUCAAGGGAUUUAUGGAGAGGUGUAUGGCCUGAAGGUUGUGUUCUAUGAGAGGACAGGGUAGAAGUGAUGGGCCAAGGAAACAAGGAGAACAGGAGGAGAGCUUUAGAUAGCUCAUCACACCUUGAUAUUGUCCCUAGAUCUGGUUGAGAGGGGAGUUUUCCUUUCCUUCCCUCCUUUGGUGUUUGGGGUCACUUUGUGAAUUUCUGUAAUAUGUGCUGCUCGUUUUCUUUUAUAUUCUCCAUCUCUACACUACCAAAGGGUCUGUCCCAGUCCUCCUGCCUUCAUAUAUAUAUAUAUAUAUACAGGCUAAGGGAGGCCACUCCCUUAGACUUAGUUUGAUUUGCAGCCAUGCACCUAGCCAAGAGGGUUGUGGGGACUUAGCCAUCCCUGAAUCCGGGGUGGGAGAGGGAAGCUAAUAUUCAUAGUAUAUUAUUUUCCCUUUCCAUGGGGUAGAAGGUAUGCGGUACUCCAAUAAACUCUAGAUGGAGAAAGGGAUCAUUAUUCAGUACCUCUUUGCCUUCCCAACUGGUCUUCUAUUAUCUUAUCUACUUGUAUUCCAGUGAAUUACAUAGGAUUGAGAAAAUGGUUCAUACAAUCGUCUUCUUUAGGUACCCUAUUCAGUUCAUUCUACUUUUGUCCACCAUUCAUAACUACCUAUUGCUCAUAUGUCUUAUAUAAAACUCUUCCAAGAUUAAUAUGACUGUAUUAAGCUUCUGUGGAGAUAUAAAUCAUCAAUAUUCCGUUAAAAUUACUCUUUGUUUAAAUUAAUUAAUGUGUGUGUGUGUUUGUGCGCACGCACACGUGUGUUUGUCAGAUGAUAGCUUGUCAAAGUCAACUCUUUUUUUCAACCAUGUAGUGCCCAGGAAUUGAACUUUGGUCCUCAAGCUUGAUGGCAAGCACCUUUACUCACCAAGACAUCUCACCUGCCUGAAUCAUCUCACUUCCAGACUACAAACUGUUUUGUGCAGCCAUGUAUGGCUACUAACACAGAAUUUUUCUAUCCA